This 460-nucleotide ribosomal RNA is filed under the name uncultured bacterium. Its description in RNAcentral is "partial 16S ribosomal RNA". It matches the Rfam family "Bacterial small subunit ribosomal RNA", at positions 338 to 795 of the family's 1533-position model. The record is from RNAcentral.
CCUACGGGUGGCAGCAGUGAGGAAUAUUGGUCAAUGGACGAGAGUCUGAACCAGCCAAGUAGCGUGAAGGAUGACUGCCCUAUGGGUUGUAAACUUCUUUUAUAUGGGAAUAAAAUGUUCCACGUGUGGGAUUUUGUAUGUACCAUAUGAAUAAGGAUCGGCUAACUCCGUGCCAGCAGCCGCGGUACUACGGAGGAUCCGAGCGUUAUCCGGAUUUAUUGGGUUUAAAGGGAGCGUAGGUGGAUUGUUAAGUCAGUUGUGAAAGUUUGCGGCUCAACCGUAAAAUUGCAGUUGAUACUGGCAGGCUUGAGUACAGUAGAGGUGGGCGGAAUUCGUGGUGUAGCGGUGAAAUGCUUAGAUAUCACGAAGAACUCCGAUUGCGAAGGCAGCUCACUGGACUGCAACUGACACUGAGGCUCGAAAGUGUGGGUAUCAAACAGGAUUAGAUACCCCAGUAGUC